AUGGAACACAUGCAUUUUUCCCUGCAGGCCCAGAAUGCGGCUAGGCCCCGGCGCCUCCUCCCCUGCUGUGUGCACCCCGGAGACGCCAACCUUGCAGCUGACAAGAAUAUCCCAGGAUCGCGGUUCUUAAGGAAAGCAGCACACGGGCACGUCUUCGGUGCACUUGUGUGUGUGGAGUGGUUCGCCGACAUUAGAUCGCCUACUUCCCACCAGAGACCCUUCGCCCCUUCCCUAUUCAUAGUUCUGUCUGUAAACCAUAUUUCAGCCUUAAAACAGAGUGAUUUCAGUCCCUGGGGUUCCUUGAGUUGCUUCUGGAAGGCAAACUGGAUGGAGACAACACCAUGGCUGCAUAUGGAGACCAAGCAGCACCAGCAACCAUCGGAAGCGAAAACAAAUUAAAUCCUUUAUUUAAAAAACAUGAUUCCAUAAUUAAAAUGAGUAAUCAUAACUGACUUCUAAUGGAUAUUUCGCUCAGAACAAUCGUUCCCCCAAAGCGUAGCCUUUGCCAGCCUGGCUGUGCUUUACCACGUUUCCCUUUCUAAGGACAUGGAACCCCUGCACGGGCAGCAGCUCCACACCCAGAGCCCAACUCCACCACUUGCUGUUCUUUCUCCAGGAGGAGGGUCCAAAUUGUUUCUUUGUGCCACUGACAGCUGUGUGAGAGAUGACCUCUGAGCCCUUCGAGCCUGAGAAUCUGGAAAACCAAGGUGUAGUCCAGCUACCUUGUGCAUUCUGUCUGCUCCGUCUACACACGGUCUCUCUUACCCGCUUGCCCCAUACAUGCUAUUGCCCUGCAGUCACGCGGUGUGUGUCGUUAGCUCUUCUGGUGUAAGCACAUCCCUGGGUGAGGGCCACACUGCUCUCUGACCCACUGCCGAGACCCGACCCAGCUUCACGGCCAAUUUCUCACCAUUAGAACGAGAGUUCAUUAUCUUUGCGUUGAGGAGAGGCUGUUUCCACUACAGGCUCUACCUGAGGAUAGAAUCUACAUCCUUUGUAAUGAAACACAUCAGCCCGGGCCUCCUUACCUAUCAAGGCUGCUCCUUUCUUUGUGUUUAAAUAGCAAACCUUCGAAAGGUUAAAUUAAAAAUUAUAACGUUGGCAUAGCCUUCAUGCCAGAUCUACGAAUAGAUGGAGAAGAAUAUUCAACAAGCUUUUAUCCAGGACCUCCCAUUUCAAUGGAGGAGAAGCAAGAAAAAAGAAGAAUUCUCCCAGAGAAUUAUCAGAUGGACUGAUUUAUAAUUCCUAGGAAUCAAAGAAGGGUUAUGGCAUGGAGUUUAGUCUUACUGCAUCUACUGUAGGGGCUCUUAAGUCAAAGGAAACCAUCUAAGAAACUCCUCCUAAUGUCUUUACUGUUAGUCGUUCAGGGCAGGGGAGGAGGUGGAAGAGGACAAGAAAC
This 1399-nucleotide long non-coding RNA is filed under the name Felis catus (domestic cat). RNAcentral's name for it is "lncRNA (ENSFCAG00000053219.1)". The record is from RNAcentral. Lineage: Eukaryota; Metazoa; Chordata; Mammalia; Carnivora; Felidae.